Molecule: transfer RNA, 82 nt
Filed under: Chitinophagales bacterium
Lineage: Bacteria; Pseudomonadati; Bacteroidota; Chitinophagia; Chitinophagales
Description: tRNA-Leu
Rfam family: tRNA
About the family: Transfer RNA (tRNA) molecules are approximately 80 nucleotides in length. Their secondary structure includes four short double-helical elements and three loops (D, anti-codon, and T loops). Further hydrogen bonds mediate the characteristic L-shaped molecular structure. tRNAs have two regions of fundamental functional importance: the anti-codon, which is responsible for specific mRNA codon recognition, and the 3' end, to which the tRNAs corresponding amino acid is attached (by aminoacyl-tRNA synthetases). tRNAs cope with the degeneracy of the genetic code in two manners: having more than one tRNA (with a specific anti-codon) for a particular amino acid; and 'wobble' base-pairing, i.e. permitting non-standard base-pairing at the 3rd anti-codon position.
Source: RNAcentral
GCCCGGGUGGCGAAAUUGGUAGACGCACCAUCUUGAGGGGGUGGCGCUGAAAGGUGUACGAGUUCGAAUCUCGUCCCGGGCA